Molecule: long non-coding RNA, 4129 nt
Organism: Passer domesticus (house sparrow)
Lineage: Eukaryota; Metazoa; Chordata; Aves; Passeriformes; Passeridae
Exons: 2
Source: RefSeq, a predicted model, not a curated record
GAGACUGGAGGUGAAGCAGCUAAGGAAGGAUUGCAGAUUCCCAGCAGAGGCAUGUGAGGGUGUUUUUGUGUGACAUGAUGUACCUGGUGACAGCAGGCACCAGCACACAGGUCAUGGCACUACCUGAGAUGUGACACAGGCUACUUGUGCAUCAGAGCAGAGGGAAAGAGACCCUGGAGAACUGCGAAUCAACAGCUCAUCCAUCAGACACACACAGAAGAGGGAGCCACAGGCUUGUUGGGUGUUCAGUGGGAUGGGAAACAGCAAUUAGGCUGUAAUUAAGCAGCAGUAGCACUGAUAAAGAAGUGCCAGAGGCUAUUGCCUUCUAACAAGGCUUCUGAUAGAAAGCCACAGCCCAUAAAAGUCAAAUCUUUUCCAAGGUCAGAGUUUCUGAAACCUUGGUAGGCACAAAUCUGCCACUAAAAUCUGGUGAAAUGGAGUGAGCAUUUUAGGAAGUAUUAAAUACAACACUUCGGUGGUCCUCUCAGCACAAGCUUCUUUUUCUAAAUAAUUCAACAUAAAUUUACCUUCCUUUUCAGAAUUUUCAGAGGGAGAGGCCUCUGCAUUCUGCUAGACCCCUCUGAUUUCCCUGUCCCUGUAAGGUGGGUCACGCAGUCCAGGCUGGUCCCUUCACAGUACAGGUAUAGAAAUCAACACGUUAGAAACCAAAAGCUAUUGCACCAUAAAAAAAGCCUUCAAAUUUGAGCAACUUCCAGCUUUAUUGGCCACCUUAUUUUAAAUUACACUUAGAGAAAUUCUUGUUGACACAUUCAUGAGGAGGUAAGUCACUCAUUUAAUCACUUAAAGUAUUAAAGACUCUGGUUUCCUGAGACUUGCCUGUUCUGCAGUGCAAACACCUGCUUGUCAGGAGAACAGAAUUCAAAAGCAGAAAGUGUUGUUUUUUGUACAAACACUGAAGACUCCAAAUUGUUUUUACCUCUUCUUUGAAUAAACAGUAUUACUUCUGCUUCUGGAGAAGAGCAGGAUCUGGUUAGGUGUAUAUAAAAGUGUCCUCUACCAGUCUGAACAACACACACUUGGCUCCCUGGAAACAAAGAGAGAGGCUUCAAAAGUGUCUGAUUAGCUGUUAGCCUGUUUUCUUGGCAGUUUCCAACUUUUCUUUUUCUUUAAACCAGCCACUUCUGGAGUUCUUGUGUGAAAGACAAUUGAGCAGAGAAACGCUUUGAUAUCAAAGUGCAGUGAAGGUUUCUGGGAAUACUACUACAAAAUUAGGGAGUGUAGUGGUUACUACAUGUGCUUUUUAAGAAGAAAGAGAGAGGUGCUUGAAUUUGAAAUUGGGAUUAUCGUACAGUUGCUCAUUGCUGCAGUCUCUUCCCAGUGAUGUCUGUCAGGUAACAGGUAAUUACAUGGAACUUGUCAGGCAAUUUGCUGGCUAACAUAAUUGAAUUCAAUUUCAAACAUGUGAUCAGCUCCUUUAGAGAUUUGAGACAAAUAUUUCAACCUGUGUGAAAGAGACCUUUUACUGUGUAAAGAAAACAUUCAGAGAACCAGGGAUAACCACACGUCAUAGUUCAACUGGCAAACUGCACAAGUCACUAGCUGAAUGCUUGGUGCCUAGAUUUGACAUGCAAAACCUCAGCUUUUUUGGUGAUUCACUUCAGGGCAUGAGAAGGAUUUUCAGUUUAUUAAUAAUAAUUUCACAAUUGGGAAGUUGAGAGAAGGGAAAAAAGCCCUUUUUUUUUGUUUUUUUUAAUCAACCCAUGAAAGAGGACUGAGGCAGAGACCUGUUUCUGAGAUUGUGUUGAUUUGUGGUCAGAAAUCUGAUCAAUUUUGCAACACAUUGCUUCAAAAUGGAUUCAUAAUCUUACAUGUACGGGAUUUUUAAGGCUUAUUUUUUAUUGCUUUUUAAAAGCUGUAUUUGUGCACUAUACAACUAAUUUCUGUUCCAUAGUUUCAGUAGCAAAGUAGGAAUUGGGGGAGGGCGGGAUAUCAUAUUCAUGUUAUUGUGACACCAGAGUCUGGAAAACAUAGCAAUAGAUGAUUACUUUUCUUUGCAGACUGGUACCAGUAGCAGAAAUAUAAGUAACUAUAAGUCUAGAUUUAGCAGAAAAGAGAAAGUUAACCUUGUCUGAAAAAUGAAGAAAAGACCAGUCAUCAGAGUAAAAGCUAACACAUAAAUGGAACAUUAAUGACUUAAAUUUAUAUUCCAUGCUUGCUGAUUUUAUUUUUAAGUCACUGAUGUUAAUGGGGGUAUAAAUCACUUAAACUCAUCCUUCUACCUUUACCUUGUAAUUCAAAGCAAUGAAAAUUGGUGAUGAAAAAAUAUACUGGAGGGAGCAGAGAUGUGUUUUCCCUUGCCAUUUGUGUGUAACAGGUCAUUCUGCCCUGGUGAAGCCUUGUGCCUUCAUGCUCUUCUGAUCAGUACAGUACAGCUUAGUCUCCAGUCUAUUGUUCUGUAAAGCUUAUGGAGCGUUCUAUUUCAGCAUGUUCUCUUGAUUGAGUUUCUGUUGUUCUCAUUAAUAAAUGUGUAUUCGCACUACUCGCUGUUUCAUAAAGCUCUUUGAUAAAGACUCAACUGUUCCAACAUGGCUGUGUUUUUUCUCACCAUAAAAUAAUGUCUGUUGAUGGAAUCACUACAAAAAGGAGAAUAAAUUUUCCUUCUAGAAUUAGCUGCCCAUGGACCAACAAUUGUUGUAUUGUAGUAGUGUCUACAUUGUAUUGUAGUGUCUUCAUUCAAUAGCUUUGAUCCGAAUCUUGAGCCAUAAAGUUAUUCACUCCUGGCUUACUGCAGUGCUGGUAAGAGGCUGAAAUUUGGGGGAAGUCUGAGGCCUGGAAAUCCUUCUCUUAGCAUCACCAUAGACACAGUACAGUGUCCUGUGUGAAACUGGGGGGAAAGAGUCACAGUUGUGCACAGAGCAGGCAUGGUUUUCCAAGGAACCUCUCUUGUGGAGUCAGCAAAUUUUUAGCAGUAAACACAUUCAUGAUUCAAAGGCUGAUUGAUCUGAGGAAGUGAAGCCUUCCUGGAUUUUCUCCGUAAGAAUUAAAAACCUUGAGUGGAUUGUACAGAGCAGAUAAGGAAGAGAACUGGGUGUAAAGAGCUGGAAUUCCAAACCACCAAGAGUGAGUUUGUCUUUCCAAAACUUCAAGCAGAGAAUGGUCCUGACUCGUGGUAGUGGUGUUCUUCCAGUUUUCUGACUGGGUUAGCUUUCACCUGCCGUGGUGGGAAGCUGCUCUUUUUGUAAGAGCAGCUCAGUCCAGGCCUGGAUAGUCAUUACCCUGCUUCAUGUAGCAUGACUUUUAGUUGAAGUGGUGCAGGUCAAAUCAUAGUCUCUGACACUGCCAGUUCCCUGUUUGCCACAAUAUGGCUGUGAGUCUUUAAAAGCACUCAACAGUUCAGUUCUGGGUGUGGGAAAGGAUUCUGCCACAGGGUUACUUUGCACACUGAUCACCAGGAAGAUGUUCCUAAAGGACUUAAAUGGAGUGCGUUUGAUAUAGGCCAUUAAGAUUUGUGGAUUCUGCAAUAAUAUUUUUAGAACUGAUUUCCAAAUGUAGAGCCAUGCUUUAAUUUCUAUGGAGGACUGGUUGGGUGACCCUUGUAAAUGCAUGAUUUGGCUUGAAAGAAGCACAUCUGUAUCUAAUGAGUCUAAUUAGAAAUUUAAAAACUGCAUUUUAAUGGCUUCGGGUGAGUAGAAGAGGACUUUAAUACAGAGGCUGUGUCUUGAUGUAUAUGUGGUAGGGAAGGAUAAAGAAAACGUGGCCUUGUGAAAUCUCUCACUAAUAUUUUCCAGUUUUUUAGGCAUGUGCACAAAAUCCCACAAAAUUUGAGUUAUUCGGUGUUGUUCAGAUUUCUGGAGAUAAAUGCUCUUACACUCUUCCCUCAUCUUGGCUGGAAUGCAGGUGAAUGUCCAGAAUGCCACUGGUAUGCCCCGCUUAGCUGUGGGACUUGGAUGAAAUGGAAGAUGUGUUUAGAAGAAGAACAGUAUUGGAGAAACCUGCACUAGUGUUUCAGAACCUUUAAAUGAGUCAGCUACCACCACAUCAUAACAGAAUACAGCCCCUCACGUCCUGCUGUCCUCCAUUGUCGUUAGCAAAGUUCCUUCUUUUCUUUUUAUGAAUUAAUUUCAAAAUCUAAAUCAAAAUAAAAAUUCAUUCACCUCUGCAGCUCUGA